Long non-coding RNA from Calidris pugnax (ruff), 723 nucleotides. RefSeq lists it as uncharacterized. The transcript has 3 exons. NCBI's taxonomy places the organism in Eukaryota, Metazoa, Chordata, Aves, Charadriiformes, Scolopacidae. The record is from RefSeq and is a predicted model, not a curated record.
GGGCUUAAAAACAAAGUCAUGCUCAGCCUUUUGUAGGAGAGAUCCAGAUGUUAUGUAGAUUUUUUUGGUUUUUUUUUUUUUUGUGCAUGUUCAUUUGGGAGCGGAUCCGGCGGUGAGCGCUGUAUGUCCGUGUGUACGUUGCUGGACUUUGCCAUAUAUCGACGUCGCGUUUGUGGAAUGUAUGCUGGAGUAUUAGCUCGAGGAUCUCCUCCAAGAUUAAAGCUAGUCCUAAGAGCAACCGAAUUGCUGUGACUGACUUUCACGGGACUGUAAAGAGAGGGCUAUGUGUGUUUAAAGAGAUGCUGAAGAGAUUUCUGAGUUCACGGGGAAGAAGGAAAGGUUGGUUUGGGGAACGGCAGCGCGCCUGGCAGGUAUUUUAAUGACCGUCCCUUCCUUUGAACACUUUCAAUUUCUCUGCUUCUUUUCAUCCGGAAUGUCUUUCCCAGACCAAGUAUGAUUUCUGCUGUAAUUCUUGUGUGUGUUUGUGAUCCCUUCUGAGGUAAAUUGAGAAGUAAGCUGCGCAAAAGGAGGAAAUCGCCCCUGGGGUGCUUUGUUUACUUUGGUUUGUAAAAUCCUGCUAGGAGAUGGUUUCCUCAGUGUGUGGCAAGUGUUUCUUCAAGAAAUUCAUCAGCCCUUCUACAAUUACUUCGAGCUCCGAGGGAAGAGAGCUGCCAUCACUUUCUCACAUCCCAAGGUGUUGCAUGGAGGAGAGAAGAAAAGGCU